GAUGGGCUCGCGGCCUAUUAGUUAGUUGGUGAGGUAACGGCUCACCAAGGCGAUGACGGGUAGCCGGUCUGAGAGGAUGUCCGGCCACACUGGAACUGAGACACGGUCCAGACACCUACGGGAGGCAGCAGUGAGGAAUAUUGGUCAAUGGACGCAAGUCUGAACCAGCCAUGCCGCGUGCAGGAAGACGGCUCUAUGAGUUGUAAACUGCUUUUGUACGAGGGUAAACUCACCUACGUGUAGGUGACUGAAAGUAUCGUACGAAUAAGGAUCGGCUAACUCCGUGCCAGCAGCCGCGGUAAUACGGAGGAUUCAAGCGUUAUCCGGAUUUAUUGGGUUUAAAGGGUGCGUAGGCGGUUUGAUAAGUUAGAGGUGAAAUCCCGGGGCUUAACUCCGGAACUGCCUCUAAUACUGUUAGACUAGAGAGUAGUUGCGGUAGGCGGAAUGUAUGGUGUAGCGGUGAAAUGCUUAGAGAUCAUACAGAACACCGAUUGCGAAGGCAGCUUACCAAACUAUAUCUGACGUUGAGGC
This 531-nucleotide ribosomal RNA is filed under the name uncultured Bacteroidales bacterium. RNAcentral describes it as "bacterial SSU rRNA". It matches the Rfam family "Bacterial small subunit ribosomal RNA", at positions 224 to 752 of the family's 1533-position model. Lineage: Bacteria; Pseudomonadati; Bacteroidota; Bacteroidia; Bacteroidales. The record is from RNAcentral.